Molecule: long non-coding RNA, 2431 nt
Organism: Hypanus sabinus (Atlantic stingray)
Lineage: Eukaryota; Metazoa; Chordata; Chondrichthyes; Myliobatiformes; Dasyatidae
Exons: 3
Source: RefSeq, a predicted model, not a curated record
GCUGUCGACUGGUUGCUGAGUUCCUCCAACAUUCUCUGUGUGUUUGCUUCUGUUUGUUUAUUGAUUAAAAUAAUCAGACUGGUACAGUGGAAGAGGAAUUUGUGGAAUGGUCAGAGACAGUUUCAUACAGUAGUUUAUUUACCCAGGAACAUGCCAUUUCAGUUGUAAUCUGUGUAAAGAGGUGGUAUUACUGAGAGUUCUUGCGGUGAAGGAUCCUGAAUAUGAGCAGUGGCAGAUGUUUAAGGAGAAGGUUCGUUAAAGCCGACAUUUAUCCCAAUCAGACAGAGGAAUCACAGAGAGCAAACAACAGUCUGUGAUUAAAAGAGUUCAAGGUAAAUAUUAACUCAGAGAACAAACAAAGAGGCAACGACAGGGUGGACAAAACAGUCGGGAUUUUUCCUGUAACUCAUGAUGCGACAAAAGAUAAAAAUAUCAAGGAAAAACAGAUUAGUUAACUCAAUAAUUUCCAUUAGUGUUUUCAGUGGGGACACAGCAAACAUCCUACAGAUAUCUAACGGUGACAUUUCAAUGCUGUGCCAUAAUGUGUAGCAAUCACCAUCAGGGGUGAUAAACUAAUGGGACUAAAAGCAAAAAUAUCCAGUUCCCAACGACCUGCACCAGACGGUUUCACAGGAAGGCUGGAGAGAAAGUAGAGACGUUGGAAUCUGUCAAAAAUCACUGUUACAGAAAGGUCCCAGUGGAGCUGAAAACCAUUGCUGAAGGGUGGAAGAGAAAGGAAAACAAAAAUUUUGUUGAGAAAUCUGUCCGCGACCAAGGCAGUUCAUACUGGAUUGGAAAAUGCAACUAUGGGAGAGUGGCCUCGAAUAUCGUGUUCCAAAUGAAGGCUGGAGUCUUCGAAUGCAUUGAAUGUGGAUGGUACCCUCACUUUGAACAUUGCAGUGAGGAUAAGCGUUGCUUCAUCUGCGAGAAGUCGGCGCUUCUGUGCUCAGAUCUUUCUGAAAAGAUCCAGGAUCUCUGUCAACAGUCAAUAGGGUCGACUUAAACAAGUGGCAAAACCGUCUUUAUCUCACCGACUCACAUUACAUCAUCAGCUCUGCCCCUCACCCUUGCCUUAUUAUCUUUCCCUCUAUCGCAAUCUUACCCACCAUCUCGCCCACUCUUCACCUUCGUUCCUCUAAACACUCUCUCUCAUCCCUCUCCACUCCCGCCUCUUCCAUUUCAUCCGCAUUUUCUCCCUCCCGCAUCUCGCCUCCCUUUCCCCGAACUCUUCCUCUUCUAUCCCUGUCUCUCUCUCGAUUCUCUAUUCCCCCUCUACACACUCUCCCAAUCCCUCUCUUUCCCUUUUAUCAAACUCAACUCGCUCUCCCGCUUCUGUCUUCAGCUACUCUCACCUCAAUCAUGCGCGUCAAUGUUCUCGAUACCACAGUCCUGUGGAAUAAGAGUGCAUGUAUUCGCCUUAUCCGUGCCCCUUGUAGUUUUGUACAGCUCUACAUGGUCACAAAAUAAAGCCUGAAAAUUUCCGACUGCACCAUAACUCAGCCCCUAAAAUCCUGGCAGAAACUUCGGAAUUCUCCCUCUGUAAUCUUUCCAGUUCGUUGAGAUUUUUCUCAGAGCAAGGCAAGCAGAACUAAACUCCAUACUCCAUGUGCGGCCCGACCGACGUCAUUUGCAACUGCAACGUGACCUCCGACUCCCGUACUCAGUGUCCUGACUGAUGAAGGCCAGCGUGUCAAAUAUCCUGUCCACCAGUAUCGCAUCUUCUCUACCGGAUUCACGGUCUGUUUUAUUAUCUGUGACGUAGACCACCUGAGAUUUGUUCUUUUGAAGGAUCAGUGGGGCGCUAAUAUGUAAAAAUUACCGUCAAAUGCAACCAGCUAAUAAAUGCCGCAAAAAAUGUGGAGGUGGUGCUCAUACGUUCAAGAAAAUGCCAGCGGAAGGGAAGAAGGUGUUUCUGGUUCAUUGAGAUUUCGGCCUCCUGUUUCUCGUCAACCCUCCUUCCCAGACGACCAUCCUUGUCACCGUCCGCCACGACUUCCUCUGCAGCCCUCUCCGUUUCCGCCACCGCAUUCUUCUUCCACACUUCUUGACUCUAGCAACCCUCCGUUCACUGCGCUGCGUGCCGUCUUCGUCAUCUCCUCCUUCUCCAACACCUCUCCACGUCUCCCUGAUCUGUUUGAUCCCCUGCAGGUCCACCCCGCUUCCAUUAACCGUCUUCCUCCUUUACACGUCUCCCUCUCACUGUUUAUAUAGAAGUAUGGCGAGGAAGAGGGAGAGGUGACGUCUAGUGUUACACCAACCAGCUCCCUUCAAACGGAUAUUGAUCUCUCGUUUCUGAGCCUUUGCUCUAUUCUGUGUGAACAGACCGAUCGUUUGUUUGGACAAAACUUCAUCCCGAGUGGGGUGGUGGGCGGAUGGGGUGAGGGUAGAUGUGCGGAAGAGAUGCGUUAGACCACUUUAGACCAGAGCCAGU